CGUCUAGCCUGGAUAGCAGCUGUGAGACGAGCUGAUAUCCAGCUCUCUUCCAUCUCCAAAUAUCUGUUGGUGCUCCAGACGGUUUCAUUCCGCAAACCAGCCUAUGAAAUGGAUGAAACACAUCGUGACUGGGUUCCAGCGCUACACAAGGGACCUGCUUCAAACAUAUCACCAUGCCAAUCAGAUUACUUCUUCCAUGUGAGGGUGAAGAGGUGACCCUUCAGGAUAAGAUGGUGAAGGUUUGCUGCGUUUGGUGAACAGUGUGGUAGUAAAACCAGGGAAAAUAAAACUUGCUCCUGUUAAAUAUUCUUAAGUCUUUUGCUGUAUAAAUAGUGGUAUUUUUCUUUUCAAAAGAUACAGUAAAUAAUGUUAGUAGUGGGUGAUAUCAUGUAAACACUGUCAUGAUUUUGUGUAAACAUUUUGUCAUUUGUAAACUAUAAAUGACAUGGAUUCUACAUUGUAACUGAUGUGAUGUUCUAUGAAGUGGUUUUAAUUAAAAAAA
This is a long non-coding RNA of Oreochromis aureus, 502 nucleotides long. NCBI's taxonomy places the organism in Eukaryota, Metazoa, Chordata, Actinopteri, Cichliformes, Cichlidae. The record is from Ensembl.